UACGUAGGGUGCAAGCGUUACUCGGAAUUACUGGGCGUAAAGCGUGCGUAGGUGGUGAGUUAAGUCUGUCGUGAAAGCCCCGGGCUCAACCUGGGAAUGGCGAUGGAUACUGGCUCGCUAGAGUGCGGUAGAGGAGAGUGGAAUUCCCGGUGUAGCAGUGAAAUGCGUAGAGAUCGGGAGGAACAUCAGUUGCGAAGGCGGCUCUCUGGACCAGCACUGACACUGAGGCACGAAAGCGUGGGGAGCAAACAGGA
RNAcentral lists this ribosomal RNA (254 nucleotides) under uncultured bacterium. RNAcentral's name for it is "partial 16S ribosomal RNA". It matches the Rfam family "Bacterial small subunit ribosomal RNA", at positions 524 to 777 of the family's 1533-position model. The record is from RNAcentral.